Long non-coding RNA from Grus americana (Whooping crane), 760 nucleotides. RefSeq lists it as uncharacterized. Lineage: Eukaryota; Metazoa; Chordata; Aves; Gruiformes; Gruidae. The transcript has 5 exons. The record is from RefSeq and is a predicted model, not a curated record.
ACAAUGGAAGCAGAAAUGUCUUAGAUGAGAUAAUUGUAAGUUCAGAGCAGAUUUUCAACACCCUUUGUGUGAGGACGAACCAAAUAGAGUUAGACUAUAGUAGUCCAAAUAGAGGAAGACUAUAGUAGAGGUCUGUAAAAUCAUGAUUCUUAGUCAAAAUGUCAAUGAAUAUGAAACAGUGGUUCCCUGUCUGUUCUUUUUGUACAAAAACUAAGGGCCCUCAAAUGAAAGUAGCAGUUAUGUUGAAAGCAAACAAUGGUUCCUCAUAUAUUGUUUAAUUAAGCUCUGGAGCUUCUUCCUGCAGGAUGUUGUGGAUGCUAAAAGUUUCCAUGUGCCAUGCUUUCAAGCAAAAAAACCAACUGACAAGACCAGGGAAGAAAAAUCAGAUGAGAGCUACUAAACACUGACACCAUCUCUGGCUCAGGAGGUUCAUAAACUAUGGUGCUAUAUAGAUUAUCAGAAGGAAUGGCUGUGCUGAGAAUAAAAGAUAAAGUGGCAUCAGAACAGUAAAUAUUUUGGAGCUAAGAGACAGCUACUGGAAUUCCAGGAUCUACUACAAUAACAUAAUGUGAAGCAUUUUGGUGGUCAGCUUAAGAAAUUAUGUUCACAACAAAGACUAUAAAGCCAGUGGGAAUUUACAACCGAUAUUCUUAGAUGUGCUCCUUUCAGAAGAUAUCUAAUCUUUCACUCAAGAGAAGUUUUUCCAGAUCUCGCUCCCUGUAGUUCCUGUUCCAUUUAGAAUGUAUCAAUAAAAUUUCUU